RNAcentral lists this ribosomal RNA (405 nucleotides) under uncultured bacterium. RNAcentral describes it as "partial 16S ribosomal RNA". It matches the Rfam family "Bacterial small subunit ribosomal RNA", at positions 28 to 526 of the family's 1533-position model. The record is from RNAcentral.
GAUGAACGCUGGCGGCGUGCCUAAUACAUGCAAGUCGAGCGAAGCGGGGACGGGUGAGUAACACGUGGAUAACCUCCUAUAAGACUGGGAUAACUUCGGGAAACCGGAGCUAAACCGGAUACUUAUAGAUGGAUCCGCGCUGCAUUAGCUAGUUGGUAAGGUAACGGCUUACCAAGGCAACGAUGCAUAGCCGACCUGAGAGGGUGAUCCUGCACACUGGAACUGUGACACGGUCCAUAAUCCUACAGGUGGCAGCAAUAGGGAAUCAUCCGCGAUGGGCGAGAACCUGACGGACCAACUGCACGUGGGUGAUGAAGGUCUUCGGAUCGUAAAACGAUGUUAUGAGGGAAGCGGUACCUAAUCAGAAAGCCACGGCUGACGACGUGCCAGAGGCCGCGGUAAUAC